Long non-coding RNA from Branchiostoma belcheri (Belcher's lancelet), 351 nucleotides. RefSeq lists it as uncharacterized. The transcript has 3 exons. The record is from RefSeq and is a predicted model, not a curated record. Lineage: Eukaryota; Metazoa; Chordata; Leptocardii; Amphioxiformes; Branchiostomatidae.
CAAUCAUGGCCAAAUCAACACCAAUUCUCCGUCGAAGCCUUUCUGCAGACAACAUUCACGACCCCAGGAUAGUACCGUCAUCCUGUGUGAGUGAAUCCAAAGAAGAGAUGUGCCAGGGUAUGCCGUCUUCUGUCAACUGGAUCAUCGGAUCUAACAACACCAUCAUAUACACGGGAUCUCAGUCAACAGUCAACAACAUCACCGAAAUAGACAGAGAACCCCGAGAAAGCCCUCAAGAUGACAACGAUGACAAUCUGAGGACACUCAUUCAGAAGAUGCUACAGUUAGCGGCACGGAACCUACGGGUGGCACUGAAUGUUGUCAGCGAUUACAGACACCGAUUAUCUGAAU